Molecule: ribosomal RNA, 155 nt
Filed under: uncultured soil bacterium
Lineage: Bacteria
Description: partial 16S ribosomal RNA
Rfam family: Bacterial small subunit ribosomal RNA
Source: RNAcentral
AGAUUGAACGCUGGCGGCAGGCCUAACACAUGCAAGUCGAGCGGUAGAGAGGUGCUUGCACCUCUUGAGAGCGGCGGACGGGUGAGUAAUGCCUAGGAAUCUGCCUAGUGGUGGGGGAUAACGUUCGGAAACGGACGCCAAUACCGCAUACGUCC